UAAGCGGAGGAAAAGAAACUAACAAGGAUUCCCCUAGUAGCGGCGAGCGAAGCGGGAUGAGCUCAAAUUUGUAAUCUGGCGUCUCCCGACGUCCGAGUUGUAAUCUAUAGAAGCGUUUUCCGUGACGGACCGCGUCCAAGUCCCUUGGAAUAGGGUAUCAAAGAGGGUGAGAAUCCCGUGCUUGAUGCGACGACCGUUGCCCUGUGAUACGUUCUCUACGAGUCGAGUUGUUUGGGAAUGCAGCUCUAAACGGGUGGUAAAUUCCAUCUAAGGCUAAAUAUUGGCGAGAGACCGAUAGCGAACAAGUACCGUGAGGGAAAGAUGAAAAGCACUUUGGAAAGAGAGUUAAACAGUAUGUGAAAUUGUUGAAAGGGAAACGAUUGAAGUCAGUCGUGUCCAUCGGAUUCAGCCGGCCCCGCCGGUGUAUUUCCUUUGGACGGGUCAACGGUCUUCUGGUCGGCGGAUAAAGGCAUGCGGAAGGUGGCACCCUCGGGUGUGUUAUAGCCUCGUGUCUCAUACGCCGGUCGGGGGAUUUGUACUUGGGCUUGCCAUGUUGUUGACGUAAUGGCUUUAAACGACCCGUCUUGAAACACG
Molecule: ribosomal RNA, 594 nt
Filed under: Sugitazyma miyagiana
Lineage: Eukaryota; Fungi; Basidiomycota; Tremellomycetes; Tremellales; Trimorphomycetaceae
Description: eukaryotic LSU rRNA
Rfam family: Eukaryotic large subunit ribosomal RNA
Source: RNAcentral